This 381-nucleotide ribosomal RNA is filed under the name Mycobacterium sp. KT-19. Its description in RNAcentral is "bacterial SSU rRNA". It matches the Rfam family "Bacterial small subunit ribosomal RNA", at positions 133 to 527 of the family's 1533-position model. Lineage: Bacteria; Bacillati; Actinomycetota; Actinomycetes; Mycobacteriales; Mycobacteriaceae. The record is from RNAcentral.
GCACUUUGGGAUAAGCCUGGGAAACUGGGUCUAAUACCGAAUACACCUCAUGGGAUGCAUGUUUUGUGGGGGAAAGCUUUUGCGGUGUGGGAUGGGCCCGCGGCCUAUCAGCUUGUUGGUGAGGUUACGGCUCACCAAGGCGACGACGGGUAGCCGGCCUGAGAGGGUGUCCGGCCACACUGGGACUGAGAUACGGCCCAGACUCCUACGGGAGGCAGCAGUGGGGAAUAUUGCACAAUGGGCGCAAGCCUGAUGCAGCGACGCCGCGUGAGGGAUGACGGCCUUCGGGUUGUAAACCUCUUUCGCCAGGGACGAAGCGCAAGUGACGGUACCUGGAGAAGAAGCACCGGCCAACUACGUGCCAGCAGCCGCGGUAAUUCA